RNAcentral lists this ribosomal RNA (272 nucleotides) under uncultured Staphylococcus sp. Its description in RNAcentral is "partial 16S ribosomal RNA". It matches the Rfam family "Bacterial small subunit ribosomal RNA", at positions 90 to 356 of the family's 1533-position model. The record is from RNAcentral. Lineage: Bacteria; Bacillati; Bacillota; Bacilli; Caryophanales; Staphylococcaceae.
CGUUAGCGGCGGACGGGUGAGUAACACGUGGGUAACCUACCUAUAAGACUGGGAUAACUUCGGGAAACCGGAGCUAAUACCGGAUAAUAUUUCGAACCGCAUGGUUCGAUAGUGAAAGAUGGUUUUGCUAUCACUUAUAGAUGGACCCGCGCCGUAUUAGCUAGUUGGUAAGGUAACGGCUUACCAAGGCGACGAUACGUAGCCGACCUGAGAGGGUGAUCGGCCACACUGGAACUGAGACACGGUCCAGACUCCUACGGGAGGCAGCAGCG